Molecule: long non-coding RNA, 853 nt
Filed under: Gossypium barbadense (sea-island cotton)
Lineage: Eukaryota; Viridiplantae; Streptophyta; Magnoliopsida; Malvales; Malvaceae
Description: long non-coding RNA (GBAR_LNC005263)
Source: RNAcentral
ACACGCAAGUGUAGGAAGGUGUUUUGUGCUCUUUGGGUCAGCUAGACAACAAGGAAUAAAGAGGUGCAUGACGGGAUUAAAAAAACUUCUUAUGAAUUAGCUUAUUUCAUACAGGCAUAUCUUAAGGAAAUAGACUAUAUUGAUAGACAUUUACUUGGUCAAAAAAUUGUGGCAAAAAGAUGGUGCCCACCAAAUCUAGAUUUUAUUAAAUAAAUUUUGAUAUAGGUUUCCAAAAUCAUACAAGAGAAUCAUGUUCAGGUUUAGUAUGUAGGAAUUUAGAUGGGAAAACUCUAGGUUCAAAACUCAUACUUAAUAGAUACAUAACUUCUCUUUUUGCAGCUGAAGCACUGACCUAUCUCCAGGCAGUGCAAAUAGGACUCGAUCUGGGAUUUCGAAGAACGGUAAUUGUUGGGGAUGCCCGUUUGAUUACCUAAAAACUGCAAAUAAAACAAGAGGAUAGAUCUGCUAUAAGCACCUACAUCAAGGAUUCGAAGGAACUGAGUAAAAGGUUCAAUAGAUGUAGUUUUGAACAUACAUCAAGGUAAGCAAAUGGUUUAGUACAUCUCCUUGCUACAGAAGGAAUAAGAUGGGAGAAUACUCAUCUAGAGGGAGGGAUUCUUGAUUUUGUGGCUGACAAACAGAGCGCGAUAGAAAGCAAUAAGGAGAGCCGGCUAAGAGAAAAAGAGAUGCCGAAAAAGUUGUGAUGAAGAUUGGUAGAGUCUUGUUUUGGUCACCUUUGAUCUAUGUUUUCUUUGAAAGAGGCAAUUUGGUUCCCGAAUGGCUUGUUUGUUUCUAAAAUGUUUCUUUACAAAAUGGGAGGUGAAAAUUCAUUCUUUAGACUGGACAGUGUGGC